This is a long non-coding RNA of Etheostoma spectabile (orangethroat darter), 581 nucleotides long. RefSeq lists it as uncharacterized. The record is from RefSeq and is a predicted model, not a curated record. The transcript has 2 exons. Lineage: Eukaryota; Metazoa; Chordata; Actinopteri; Perciformes; Percidae.
GUGAGGGAGAGAGGGAGAGAAGAGAGCAGAGCGGGAUAUAGAGAGAUACUUGAAGUCUGAUGGUUUGCAAUCCUAUCUAGACCGUUAGGCAGGGAGGGAGCGCAACAGAGAGUUGGUGAGGUGAGUAUUCACAAACCUCUCCAAAUGGAUGGAUAAUAAAAAAUGGGGACCAACGGAGAGGAAAAAAUCCACCAACAUCACUAUCAGGACUAAUCUCUGUGGACUUUUUCUCUGUCUGUGAGGACAAGAACAUCUGUCAGUUGUGUAACCGUUGUAUGUUCAUCAAUAUUCAAUCCCAAUUCUUGGAUUGCCGCUGGAGGGAGCAGAAUAUAAACCAGCUGUUUCAAUCGGUCGACCUAGAUGGUGACAGAGCUGCAAGGAGAGGGGACAGUGUGGUGUAUGGACCAGCUCCAAAGCAUCAGUGUUUACCCUGCAUGGUGAGCUCUGCUGUGUCUUGAUGGGGCACUUUACUUAUUGGUUUGAUUACACUAAGGUUUUCAGAUGAACUCACUCAUACUGUACUACCUCAUGAUGAUGACCUUCUCCUGAAUCGCUGAAUCAACCCCCCUCCAUGCACACAU